Molecule: long non-coding RNA, 546 nt
Organism: Mustela erminea (ermine)
Lineage: Eukaryota; Metazoa; Chordata; Mammalia; Carnivora; Mustelidae
Exons: 2
Source: RefSeq, a predicted model, not a curated record
CCGCAUUCAUCAAGUUCUUGGCGGCCUGGAUCAGGGACAUGGCACUGUCCACCUGAGAGGCACAGACAGGGUGGUCCACUUCUUCUCAUUUGGAGCAGAAGUUUAUAGCAGUCUGAAUUUCCGACCCACUUUCAAGAACAAGUUUUUGUGUGGAGAAAACACACUGCAAGGGACAGAAACCUAACAUGGAAGCUUCCAGAUCACAUCUGUACAGGAACAGAAGCUGCUUAAUUUUUGGUAAGUUCAUCCUCUGCCUGCUGCCGUGGGGAGAGGACAUACGAGAAGGGAAUGAUGCAUGGAGCCCUCUCCCUGGUGGGCCCUGCCCAUGGCUUCUACAUUUAGCUAUGUGACAUGGCACUGAAACUGGAGGCCUGGUGCCCACCUCAAGGCCCACGGACACCAAGCCUAGAGCUGCUCCCCACUCAGCUUCCCCAAGUGCUCACGAUGGAGUGGGGCCCAAAAGCAAGGAUGCAUUUGUUGUUCAAAAUGAUUUCUACAGAGUGCAGAAAGACUCCACAGAAAUAUUUCUUGGCAUGCUCCCAAAAA